UUGAGAGACUCUCUGAGGACGGGGGAUGGGGGGGAGUGGGGGGGAGGGUCCUGGUCAGAGGCCAGUGAACUGUGAGGUUACAGCCCCAUAAACACUGGAUCCGCCUUCCCAGAGUGGGGUUUCUCAAGGCACCUGCUUCAUGGGAUUGUCGAAGAGCACCUGAGUCCCGGGGCACAGAGGCCCUCGCGCGGUAGCCAUUAUUCACCAGACAGCACCUUUCAAGGGGACGUGUCCCAGGACAGAGCCGUGCAAAGAUGGAAUGAACUGCCAGAGGAAUGAAUGAGCUCUCUGUCCCUGGAGGUACGUAAAGCUACAUAAGGAGAGGAGUGAGGGGUUAGCCGAGGCAGGAAAGCUGCAAAAUGUGUUCUAAUCCAGAGAAUCUACAGAUCUAUAAUAGAAAACUGUCUAAUUACAGGCAGAGGAGGUAUUUAUCAGGUAAUAACCAUAUACUACUAAUAUAAAUAUGCAUACAGAUGAUCAUCACAGUUUUGGGGGUUUUUUUAUAAUGGAAAACAUGCUGUCUCCUAAAUUCCACCUUUUGAAAGUUAUCUUUAUGCAAUCAGCAUGUGUGUAUUCAGUCCCUUGGCUGUAAGAAUGCUCAAUGCAGUAUUGUUUGCAACAGAGGAAAAAUUGGAGACAGCCUGAAAGUUCAUUUAUAUGUUUAUUUUCUGUCUCCCUCUAGAUUGAGCUCCAAGAGGGUGGGCCCUUGUCUGUCUCAUUCACUGCUCUAUCUGUCAUAUCUAAUGGGUAUAGGAGAUACAAUGCAGUCUUUUUUUAAAAAUUUUUGUAUUCUUUGACGAGAGGGAGGGAAAGAGAGAGAGGGAGAGGGAAAUGCAAGAAAUGCAUCAAAAUGUUAACAGCAAUUGUUCCUGGGAGAUGGAAUGAAAGGUAAUUUUUGUUUUAUGCUUUGUUGUACUAUCUACAAAAAACAUGUAUUAUGUUUAUAAUGUGAAAAAACUUUAAGUAAAAAUAGAAUGACAUCAGGGUAAAAAAAAUUGCUUCAUUUGCUGAGCUCUGAGAAUGGAUUUUUAAAGCCAAACUGAAUCGUGUAAAACUAUCAGAACGUCCCUGGUGGCAGCCUUUUGCCAUCUGGCUAGGAUAACACAAGAACAAUCCAACUUAUCUGGGUGGGGAAGAAAAUAACUUGCAGUUUCGCAGUGGCCGCCCCUAAAACCAUGCCCUCCUCCCAAGGUGGCUUUUUUAUAACCUCCUUUGGGUACAGACUCGCCAUUUAUCUGUGCAAACAAGGCAUCCGUGCUGUUUGGGUAUUCCAAAGCACAUCUGCUCAAGGCAGAUAACAAAACACAGAUAACUCCACCAACAGGUCUCUGCCUUUGAAUUUGUCUUCCAAAACAAGCAAGCUCUCUCACUGUUUGGGGAGAAACCAACCUGUUUUGAAU
Non-coding RNA from Kogia breviceps (pygmy sperm whale), 1400 nucleotides. NCBI's taxonomy places the organism in Eukaryota, Metazoa, Chordata, Mammalia, Artiodactyla, Physeteridae. The record is from RefSeq and is a predicted model, not a curated record.